This 403-nucleotide ribosomal RNA is filed under the name uncultured bacterium. RNAcentral's name for it is "bacterial SSU rRNA". It matches the Rfam family "Bacterial small subunit ribosomal RNA", at positions 938 to 1344 of the family's 1533-position model. The record is from RNAcentral.
CUCGGGAAUUUCGAGUUAACGCCGAAGAACCUUACCAGCCCUUGACAUCCUGGGAACUUUGUAGAGAUACAUUGGUGCCCUUCGGGAAUCCCAGUGACCAGGUGCUGCAUGGCUGUCGUCAGCUCGUGUUCGUGAGAUGUUGGGUUAAGUCCCGUAACGAGCGCAACCCUUGUCCUUUGUUGCCAGCACGUAAUGGUGGGAACUCAAAGGAGACUGCCGGUGACAAACCGGAGGAAGGUGGGGAUGACGUCAAGUCAUCAUGGCCCUUAUGGGCUGGGCUACACACGUGCUACAAUGGCCGGUACAGAGAGUAGCGAAGCGGCGACGUGGAGCCAAUCUCAGAAAACCGGUCGUAGUCAGCAGUCUGCAACUCGACUGCAUGAAGUCGGAUCGCUAGUAUUCG